GCCGGAGUGGCGGAACUGGUAGACGCGCUAGAUUCAGGUUCUAGUGGGCUUCGGCCCGUGGAGGUUCAAGUCCUCUCUCCGGCACCA
Molecule: transfer RNA, 87 nt
Filed under: bacterium
Lineage: Bacteria
Also listed under: 1 other name
Description: tRNA-Leu
Rfam family: tRNA
About the family: Transfer RNA (tRNA) molecules are approximately 80 nucleotides in length. Their secondary structure includes four short double-helical elements and three loops (D, anti-codon, and T loops).
Source: RNAcentral